RNAcentral lists this ribosomal RNA (447 nucleotides) under uncultured bacterium. Its description in RNAcentral is "bacterial SSU rRNA". It matches the Rfam family "Bacterial small subunit ribosomal RNA", at positions 330 to 794 of the family's 1533-position model. The record is from RNAcentral.
ACCAGACUCCUACGGGAGGCAGCAGUGGGGAAUAUUGCACAAUGGGGGAAACCCUGAUGCAGCGACGCCGCGUGAGCGAUGAAGUAUUUCGGUAUGUAAAGCUCUAUCAGCAGGGAAGAAGAUGACGGUACCUGACUAAGAAGCCCCGGCUAACUACGUGCCAGCAGCCGCGGUAAUACGUAGGGGGCAAGCGUUAUCCGGAUUUACUGGGUGUAAAGGGGGCGCAGACGGCGAUGCAAGCCAGGAGUGAAAGCCCGGGGCCCAACCCCGGGACUGCUCUUGGAACUGCGUGGCUGGAGUGCAGGAGGGGCAGGCGGAAUUCCUUGUGUAGCGGUGAAAUGCGUAGAUAUAAGGAAGAACACCAGUGGCGAAGGCGGAUUACUGGACGAUAACUGACGGUGAGGCGCGAAAGCGUGGGGAGCAAACAGGAUUAGAUACCCGUGUAAC